UAUCCGCCGCUCGGAGCGCUCCGGGCCUGGGCGCAGGGCGUGGCGGGGGCCGGGAGCCCCGGGGACCUCGAGGGGCUGGAGGCCCCGAGGGGAUGCAGCAACCAGCCCCUCGCUUUGCACCGGGGGCGAGGGUGAGGGGUCUCCCCCAUUACCCCGACUGGGGCUCCAGGACUCUAGCCGACCUCUUCUGAAAAGCAAUCCCCCCCCCACCCCCGCUUUGGGAAACUCAAGACUAUUUCAAGGCGCAGUUCAAGUCCUUGAGGCCAGAGGACGAGGCCGAGACCUGCCCAGAUCCUGAACCCAGGAAGAGGGGCCUGGGGUGCGGCUUCGCGUCCAAUCUCAGUUUCCCCAUCUGUACGUGAUCUCUGGUGUCUGCGAAGUCCAGAUUGUAAUGCAAGCAGAAUAAUCGUUAUGACAUCUUCUGGGACUUGAUGUUGUAGAAACCAGUUCCAGAGCCACCAGGUUCCAGAUGCUAACAUGAUGCCAACCAGACUUCCCUGAACAGACAACCCAGCCCCACCAAUGUGUCCUGGAGCUCCACUUACCCAGAGCCCCACCCUACUAGGGAAAGAGAGAGGCAGGCUGGUAGUAUGGAUCGACCAGUCAACACCCAUGUUCAACAGAGAAGCAAUUACAGAAGCCAGACCUUCUACCUCUUGCAUCCCACAGUGACCUUGGGUCCAUACUCCCAGAGGGAUAAAGAAUAGGAAAGCUAUCAGGGGAGGGCAUGGGAUAUGGAGAUCUGGUGUUGGGAAUUGUGUGGAGUUGUACCCCUCUUAUCCUAUGGUUUUG
Erinaceus europaeus (western European hedgehog) is the source of this 792-nucleotide long non-coding RNA. RefSeq lists it as uncharacterized. The record is from RefSeq and is a predicted model, not a curated record. The transcript has 3 exons. Lineage: Eukaryota; Metazoa; Chordata; Mammalia; Eulipotyphla; Erinaceidae.